UUCAACCUCAAAAUGUUUUCUGUGGCUUUUCUGCUGCUAGCGGCUGCAUCCUGUGUAAAGUGUGAACAGCUGACACAACCAGCUGCUCAGACUGUGCAGCCAGGUCAAAGUCUGACCAUCAGCUGUCAGGUCUCCUAUUCCCUGGGCAGCUACUCUACAUUUUGGAUCCGACAGGCUGCUGGGAAAACACUGGAGUGGAUCGGUGCUGCACGGACCGGAUACACCACAAAUUACAAUAAUAUGAUGAAAAACAAGUUCAGCAUUACUUUACAGGAUUCCAGUAAAACAGUGACUCUGAAUGGGCAGAACAUGCAGCCUGAAGACUCUGCUGUGUAUUACUGUGCAAGAGCCCCACAGUGACACAAACCAGCAGGAGAGAAGUACAAAAACUCCUGAACAAGUUACUUCAAACCACCAGAGGGGGACUUUUCUGUUGUUUUUUUUUUUCAUUUUGUGUAUUUUGCUUUACUAAAACAGAGCUAUACUUGAACUGAA
This is a non-coding RNA of Poecilia reticulata (guppy), 495 nucleotides long. The record is from the annotation of a RefSeq genome assembly. Lineage: Eukaryota; Metazoa; Chordata; Actinopteri; Cyprinodontiformes; Poeciliidae.